RNAcentral lists this small RNA (792 nucleotides) under uncultured Verticillium. RNAcentral describes it as "eukaryotic LSU rRNA". The stretch from base 527 to 792 matches the Rfam family "Eukaryotic large subunit ribosomal RNA", at positions 1 to 266 of the family's 3401-position model. The record is from RNAcentral. Lineage: Eukaryota; Fungi; Ascomycota; Sordariomycetes; Hypocreales.
GGAAGUAAAAGUCGUAACAAGGUCUCCGUUGGUGAACCAGCGGAGGGAUCAUUACCGAGUACUAUAACUCAUAACCCUUUGUGAACCUUUAUACCUGUUGCUUCGGCGGCGCGCCUCCCGGGGCGUGCCCGCCGGCAUUAUCAGAAUCUCUGUUCGAACCCGACGAUACAUCUGAGUGUUCUAAGCGAACUGUUAAAACUUUCAACAACGGAUCUCUUGGCUCCAGCAUCGAUGAAGAACGCAGCGAAACGCGAUAUGUAAUGUGAAUUGCAGAAUUCAGUGAAUCAUCGAAUCUUUGAACGCACAUGGCGCCUUCCAGUAUCCUGGGAGGCAUGCCUGUCCGAGCGUCGUUUCAACCCUCGAGCCCCCGUGGCCCGGCGUUGGGGAUCUGCCCAGGCAGUCCCCGAAAACCAGUGGCGGACCCGUUGGGCCCUUCCUUUGCGUAGUAACAUCUGCCUCGCAUCGGGAGCCUGCGGGCUAUCCGGCCUCUAAACCCCCCUCAAGCCCGCUCCGGCGGCACCAAGGUUGACCUCGGAUCAGGUAGGAAUACCCGCUGAACUUAAGCAUAUCAAUAAGCGGAGGAAAAGAAACCAACAGGGAUUGCCUCAGUAACGGCGAGUGAAGCGGCAACAGCUCAAAUUUGAAAUCUGGCUCCUUCGGGGCCCGAGUUGUAAUUUGCAGAGGAUGCUUCGGGUACGGGUCCCUUCCGAGUUCCCUGGAACGGGACGCCAUAGAGGGUGAGAGCCCCGUCUGGUAGGACACCCAGCCCGUGUGAAGCUCCCUCGACGAGUC